GGCCUGGCCGGGCGGUCCACGGCUUCGGUUGUGCGCACUGCCUUUUCGGGCCGGGCCCUGCCUCCUGGGGAACCCGCGCUGGGAUGGCUUUCGGGCUGUCCUGCGUGGGCGAGCCAGGACGUUUACCUUGAAAAAAUUAGAGUGUUCAAAGCAGGCGCACGCUUGCAUAGAUUAGCAUGGAAUAAUGGAAUAGGACCUGUGGUCUUGUUUUGUUGGUUUCGUUGACCGCGGUA
This 233-nucleotide ribosomal RNA is filed under the name uncultured fungus. Its description in RNAcentral is "partial small subunit ribosomal RNA". The stretch from base 112 to 233 matches the Rfam family "Eukaryotic small subunit ribosomal RNA", at positions 741 to 864 of the family's 1831-position model. The record is from RNAcentral. Lineage: Eukaryota; Fungi.